AGCUAACAAUUUUUUCCGAGGGCUCUGAUGUCCGAUUUUUUGUCGAGAUUUUCUGCCGUUUCUUCAGAAAAGUUUCCGAGUAAUCUGCACAUACUCGUUUCUUUUGUUUUGUUUGAACAAAACAAAGCUAAAGAGAAAAAAACAGCGUAUACAGAGAUUUAACUCUUUUUUGGCGAGAAUUUCUAAUGUUACUCCAGAAAAGUUUCCGAGUAAUCUGCACAUACUCGUUUCUUUUGUUUUGAAAAAAAAAAAAAAAAAAAAAAAACACAAAAAUUCUGACAUUAGCAGAGAGUUAACUUUUUUCUGUUGAGAUUUAUUUUACCGUUCCUUUCGAAAAGUUUCCGAGUACUCUGCACAUGCUCGGUUUAAAUUAAUUGAAGAAUUUUGUGUAUACAACUUUUUUGUUUUUUUGAUUAUGAUCAGUUUGUCGUCAGAAUUUGAACGGAGCACGAGUGCAGUGUGUUGCAGUGAAAAGUUAAAAUGAAAAUUAAAGGAAGAUUUGGACCUUCAGUACCUUAUGCUACGCCGUUUAAAAAAUCAACGCCAUGACAAUGUAAACACUUUUACAUAUGAAAAUUUUAAACUUAUUUUUCAAACUGGCGAGGUCAACGUUUUCGUGGCACGAAAUGUACCAAAAUACAGCUGUAAAGGACAUCUAAUUUAUUAGGCUCGUUAAAGAUGCGGCAUUGGAACAUAUUCCGGGAACUAUGGGAAGUGCCAUAUAAACCCAUAUAAAACAUUUCUUCAAAUCGGCUAAAGAUAGGCUUAACAAACCUUAAGCUGGGCCAAAAUCGAACUCAGUCAACCUUAAACUCCUUUUUCAUCUGCGAAUAAGCCAGCCGAUGACUUGAUCCAGCCAAAUAUGCGCUUUAUAUAU
This is a long non-coding RNA of Musca domestica (house fly), 877 nucleotides long. RefSeq lists it as uncharacterized. Lineage: Eukaryota; Metazoa; Arthropoda; Insecta; Diptera; Muscidae. The transcript has 3 exons. The record is from RefSeq and is a predicted model, not a curated record.